GCUGUGUACAGAAAAAAUAUCAAUGCGCGAUCGAAUCACGUGACAGGUCAUUGAGGUCAGUUGAUUCGACUUCCGUCAUUUCGUUAAUUGAUGGUGCACCUUAAUUGAUACAGACAUGAAGAAAUUGUGUGUGAAAUAACAAACUGUUGUGUGAGGUUUUUAAUGUGAUAUGGUCAAGACAUACUAUGAUAGUAUUGUUCAGUAUGACUUCUGUCAUGUUACUGUUUGAUAACAGUGAAGGUACAGUAGGUUCAGACAAGUUAUAUACAUGUAUACAGGACAAGACAGCUCAAACCGGCAGUUUGUUAUAGCAAAAAGUGAUGGAGUUCCAGCCUAGAAGUCUUCAUGAUGAUGUGGAUCCUAGUUAUAGAUUCUUUGAAAUUAUCUGUAAGGAAGGGGUUUCUGCUGCAGAGGAAAAAAAAUCAUACAGUUAGAAGUUGCCCACUCUGUUCAAAUGAAGCUGUCUGAAGUACCCAGUAGACAAUGUAUUAUUUCUGGAACAACUUAAUUGAAGUGAAGCUAACUAUGUGAAGGAGUUAUUCCUGUAUUCAAAAGGAAACUUCAGCAUGAGAUACAAAAAUAAGCGAUAAUAAUUAUUUUCCUGACACCAGAAUACACUAUGGUUCUGCUUGCAGUCAGAAGUGGUGUUCUAUUCUUGUAAAGCAGCAUUAAUUGUCCUGUCAUUUAAUUGAAAGUAAUUGACAAUAUUCUUGUUUGUUUUUCAGCAGCAUUUGUAAAGUUAAUUUUGUUUGAAUAUCACACCAUCCAUUGCUUUUGAUUUUCUUGUGACCAGAAACUAGCAUUUUACAUAGUGGUGUAAGCUAACUAUGAUAAUUCAUGCAAAGAUAUGAUAAAAAAUUAUAGAAGAAAUAUGUCUUCGAUUUACUGGUAAAUUGUUAAGUAUGGCAUGUAUGGAGCACAUUGUCUUUAUGAUUUGGAAUAAAUUCAGUGCCAGAUAUCAUUAACAAUAACUUGCAACAUGACAAAUAUAUUUUAUUUUCAGAUAUUUGUAGCUUCAGUUAUGGGAGAACACAAGAUUAAUUGAACUGGAAUCCCUUCAGACAUUGACAUAGCUAAAUUCCACAGUUUUAACUAUAAAUGGACAUUGAAUUAUUAUACAUUGGUUUUAUUUUAUACAUGUAUUUGUUAAUAUUUCUGUUUUCCAUUAUUUCCCAAUAUUGUUAAUUUUGGAUAAUAUAAUGCCAAAGAAAACUUGUCAGUCUUGGAGUAUGGCUGUUUAACAAAAACACUGCAGAUUGUUGGUCAGAACAAUGAAAUUACAGUUUUGCUUGUUAUAAAUGAACUAAUUUACAUAGAUAUAUAAUUUUUGUAAGCAUGAAAAAAUUUGGAACAUAUCAUAUAUAUAAAUAAUAAUGGACAUGAUGGAUAUUUGUUUCUUUUGCAUGCAAGAUCCAAAUAUAUUUCAUAGAGUGAACAGCAGAUUAGAUAUUUUCAUGAAUGGCAUUGAAAAACAUAUAUUAUGUAUUAGUAUAACUUUGCCAUGGAGGCUGCUAUUUUACUGUGACUGAAAGUAGUUCAGAUAUGACGCCUUAUUAUGUUCGAGGUUUAUAGCCCCUCAUACAAGCCAAAGAGAGCAGAUUUUUUUGUCUGUGUAAAAUAAAUAAUUUUCAAUGUUCAUAUUUGAAAGUGAUUCUGUAUUAUUUCCUGAAUUGUUUAAUUGCCUUCAUGAUUUGCAAAUAUUAAUUAUCUACUCUUUAUUUAUCACAUUUUUCUGAGAAAUAAAUGUAUUUCCCACAAAAUUUCUGUUUGUUUAUAGGCUUUUCAUCCUCAUUCAAAUAAAGCCUGGCUACUUACUGACUGAAUACUUUAUUGUGAAAUAAUUUAAAAGUAAUGUCAUUUUUAUACGCCCAUUUGAAAAACGGGACGUAUUAUGGGAACGCCCCUGGCGGGCGGGCGGGCGACGUCCAAUUUUUGUCCGGAGCAUAUCUCCUACAUGUAUGGAGGGAUUUUAAUUAAACUUCAUAGAAAUUUUCACCACUAUGAGGAGCAGUGUUGCGCACAUGAACUAGGUCAAAGGUCAAGGUCACACUUAGAGCUCAUUGAAAAAUGCUUGUCCGGAGCAAAACUUCUACAUGUAUAGAGGGAUUUCAAUAUUACUUGGCACAAAUGUUCACCAUUGUGAGGCAAAGUGUCGCGCGCAAGAUUCAGGUCCUUACAGCCAAGGUCAAGGUCACACAUAGAGGUCAAAGUUCAGAUAAAAAAAUGAAGAUGUGUAUAUGGACCAUUUAGUCAUCAUUUAUUGAGGGAUUGUAACACAAAUGGUCAUUAUCAAGACUAUGGCUGUGAUACAUAUAAUUUAGGUCAAUAUAUACAAGGUCAAGGUCACUAAAGAUGAUGAAAUAUCCAGAUUUUGUCCGGAGCAUAUCUCUUACACGCAUGGAGGGAUUUUAAUGAAAUUUCAUAGAAAUGUUCACCAUUAUGAGAAGCCAUGUCACGCACAUGAACUAGGUCUCUAGGUCAAAGGUCAAGGUCACACUUAGAGCUCAUUGAAAAACGCUUGUCCGGAGCAAAACUUCCACAUGCAUAGAGGGAUUUCAAUAUAACUUGGCACAAAUGUACACCAUUGUGAGGCGGAGUGUCGCGCACAAAAUUCAGGUCCCUUCAGCCAAGGUCAAGGCCACACAUAGAGGUCAAAGUUUAGAUAAAAAUAUGAAGAUGUGUAUAGGGACGAUUUAAUCUUCAUUUAUCGUGGGAUUGUAACACAAAUGGUCAUUAUCAUGAAUACGGCUAUGACACAUGUACUUUUGGUCAAUAUAUGCAAGGUCAAGGUCACUAAAGAUGGUGAAAUAUCCAGAUUUUGUCUGGAGCAUAUCUCCUACAUGUAUGGAAGAAUUUUUAUAAUACUUUAUGGAAAUGUUCACCACCAUGAUAUGUAUUGCUCCAUGCAUGAUCCAGGUCUCCAGGUCAAAGGUCAAGGUCACACUUAGAGCUCAUUGAAAAACGCUUGUCUGGAGCAAAACUUCUACAUUCAUAGGGGGAUUUCAAUAUAACUUGGCACAAAUGUUCACCAUUGUGAGGCUGAGUGUCGCACGCAAAAUUCAGAUCCCUGCGACCAAAGUCAAGGUUACACAUAGAGAUCAAAGUUCAGAUAAAAUUUGAAGAUGUGUAUAGGGACCAUUUAGUUAUCAUUUAUUGAUGGAUUGUAGCACAAAUGGUAACUAUUAUGACUACAGGUGUGACACAUUUAAUUUAGGUUAAUAUUUGCAAGGUCAAGGUCACUGGAGAUGAUAAAAUAUCCAGAUGUUGUCCGGAGCAUAUUUUCUACAUGCAUGGAGGAAUUUUAAUGUUACUUUAUAGAAUUGUUCACCACCAUGAGACGUAGUGCCCUGCACAUGAACCAAGUCUCUAGGUCAGAGGUGAAGGUCACCGUUAGAGCUCAUAGCAAAACGCUUGUCUGGAGCAAAACUUCUACAUGCAUAGAGGGAUUUCAAUAUAAUUUGGCACAAAUGUUCAUCAUUGUGAGGCUGAGUGCCGUGCAUAAAAUUCAGGUCCCUGCGACCACGGUCAAGGUCACACAUCCUGUGCAUAUCUUCCCUACUGAUUUGUUUUAAGGUUCAUUUAACAACACAGUGCCAAGGAUAAAAACUUGCUUGCUAGAUAACACUUAUCCAUAAUGCCCCCAUCUCCAUCUAAAGCUUUCGUAAACGGGCGUAUUUUGUGACUAUGGCACCCUUGUUUUUACUGAAAAGCAUGUUAUAAGUUAUGGUGUUCAAUUGAUUUCUGCAGGACAACUUAUGAAGGAAUGAAGUGUUUUGAUAUUUGCCAUGUUAGUAUCAAAAGACAGAUUUUCGUUCAAUUUUGGCCACAAUAAAUUAUUUUUGAUGCAGUUAUGCCCCUGUUUAGCUCGACUUUUUCUUUUUAAAAAAUAGAGGUAUGGUAACAGUCAUGUUGGCAUUGCCGAGGUUAUCCACGAACUUGUAUUUUGAUCAUUAUUUUUUAGCUCACCUGAGCACAACGUGCUCAUGGUGAACUAUUGUGAUCCUCCUCCAUCAGUUGUCGUGGGUCGUUAAAAAUUUCUUUAAACAAAUCUCCUCAGAAACCAAAGACUGCACAGUAACCAAACUUUGCAGGAAUGACUCUACAGUAAGUGCCCUUUGGUACUUUUGUCCAGUGCAUCACUUGAAAACUAGUAUUUGGAAUUCAAUUCAACUUCAUACAAUGGUCAAGCGAAUGAGAGAAAGUGCAGUGUACAAUUACCAUUACUCCAUCUGCAGUAUUUAUAGAGUUAUUGCCCUUUGAUCCUUUUCCUUGUCUUUCUUGACUUAUUACAGAGUUAUUCAAUAAAACUUCAUCAAUGGUCAACCACAUUGAAAGGAAAUGCAACAUACAGGAACCACAACUUACUAUCUUUAAAUGCCCACAAACAUAACUCUAUUUCAAUUCUUUUACAAGGUAUUCUGUUACAUCCUAAUGUCCAAAGCUGUUUUAUGGGGGUAUUAAUCACAUUUAGAGAUAGUUCUAGUUUUAACUGACCAUACUUGACUUAUUGUUUGUGAGAAUUUCAUGAAUCUCUCUGGAUGAAAUUGUGACAUUGAUAAGUCAUGUAUUCACAAUCACUGAAAGUUUAUCCCUGAUGGAACACUUAUUACUAGUAUGCAUAUAAACAGAAAGAUUUUUCAACCAUUUUCUUAUCGAGUUGUUUGGACUUGAUAACUUGAAUAUCAGAUUGAUAAUAACUAUAAUCCCCAAGAAUGAGCAUGUUUUUCAUAUGCUUUAUAAGUAGAUGAAAUUAUCAAUGCUAAGUCAUUGUUAAUAGAGGACUUGGUUAUCUACUUCCAGCUUCUGCUUCUGUCAGUAGUGUACUCUUAAAAUUUAUUCAACUUUCAAAGUAUUAUUUUGAGGAUAUAAAGCAGUUUGGUUUUUCGAUCUCAACUGAGCCACUUGAGAAAAAAUACUGGUUUUUAGUACUUUUGAUAAACCGUGUUGUAAUUGUUGGAUGCCAAUGAUAAAUCUUCCUGAAUUAAAUUAAAUAAAAUAUUGCUCUUUCCUUUGUAUUCAAUCAUUUCCACUUGAAUAUGACAUGACCUUUUUCAAAAAAGUUGCUAAAGAACAUGCUUUUGCCUUUCAGGUGAUCACCAGCAAUAUAAUGCCAUAUAAAUUUGUCAGCGCAAGCGACCCUCCAGUACUUUC
Molecule: long non-coding RNA, 5151 nt
Organism: Ruditapes philippinarum (Manila clam)
Lineage: Eukaryota; Metazoa; Mollusca; Bivalvia; Venerida; Veneridae
Exons: 5
Source: RefSeq, a predicted model, not a curated record